CCAAGAUUAGACAAACAGUAGCUGAUGGAGGAAUCAUAGUUGAUACAAAAAAGAUUAUGAUGGAGAUGAAAGCCAAAUUAAAGAUGCUCAGGUUCUCAUAGGAGUAUAUUCACAGCAUCAACUAAUUUUUCAUAAUAUUUAGCAUAAGAUUGGGAAACAGAUAACAUUUCUGACAGGGAGAAACUCAACAGAGGCUUGCAUUUCCUUUGAAAUGGAAAGUAUCCACCAUUUAGGAACCAAUUGGAUCUGGCAUGGGAUGAUGUAUCAAAAAGUACAAUUGCUUUUUCUACAAAAUUAUCAUCACAAAUUAUUGAUUUGAUUUUGAAUUAUAUUGUACCUGCACAAUACAAGUCGAUAAAGUGUUCUGAUCUGUAGUAGGAAAGAGGAAAACAGACGAAACACAGUCAAUAUUUCAACAGGAUGUUUUGAUUGAAGCUCUUAUUGAUGCAUACUUACUAACUUAGACAUGAAUAGUCAUCCGACCUGGCUUCAGAUCUUAUCACUGUUUGCAUGUAUUCAGACCGUUUUCCAUGUUUCUGUUUAUGGCAGACUUCGCUAAUAUUAUAUGACAGUAAAAUUAUAAGCAAACAGCCUGAAUAAUUAUAUAACCAUUUAAAUGAAAAUGUCUGCACCACAGUUGAACCAUUCAUCUGUAUAUUUGUUUUUAUUCAUGUAGGUAUAAAAUAAAUUUUAUUUCCAUUUGAAAUA
Long non-coding RNA from Mytilus californianus (California mussel), 708 nucleotides. RefSeq lists it as uncharacterized. The record is from RefSeq and is a predicted model, not a curated record. Lineage: Eukaryota; Metazoa; Mollusca; Bivalvia; Mytilida; Mytilidae. The transcript is spliced from 2 exons.